RNAcentral lists this microRNA precursor (92 nucleotides) under Marmota monax (woodchuck). The record is from RNAcentral. Lineage: Eukaryota; Metazoa; Chordata; Mammalia; Rodentia; Sciuridae.
AGUGGAACAGCUGGGUCAAAUUCCAAGUUUUCUGAGAAAUCUCCAUACCGCUUUCCAUAAUGAUUUUGCCAAUUUGCAUUCCCACCAGCAAU